RNAcentral lists this ribosomal RNA (440 nucleotides) under uncultured bacterium. RNAcentral describes it as "partial 16S ribosomal RNA". It matches the Rfam family "Bacterial small subunit ribosomal RNA", at positions 338 to 795 of the family's 1533-position model. The record is from RNAcentral.
CCUACGGGAGGCAGCAGUGGGGAAUAUUGCACAAUGGGGGAAACCCUGAUGCAGCGACGCCGCGUGAAGGAAGAAGUAUUUCGGUAUGUAAACUUCUAUCAGCAGGGAAGAAAAUGACGGUACCUGACUAAGAAGCCCCGGCUAACUACGUGCCAGCAGCAGCGGUAAGACGUAGGGGGCAAGCGUUAUACGGAUUUACUGGGUUUAAAGGGAGCGUAGGCGGCGAUGUAAGUCAGAAGUGAAAGCCCGGGGCUCAACUCCGGGACUGCUUUUGAAACUGUGUUGCUAGAUUGCAGGAGAGGUAAGUGGAAUUCCUAGGGUAGCGGUGACAUGCGUAGAUAUUAGGAGGAACACCAGUGGCGAAGGCGGCUUACUGGACUGUAAAUGACGCUGAGGCUCGAAAGCGUGGGGAGCAAACAGGAUUAGAUACCCUUGUAGUC